This 821-nucleotide ribosomal RNA is filed under the name uncultured bacterium SY6-23. RNAcentral describes it as "bacterial SSU rRNA". It matches the Rfam family "Bacterial small subunit ribosomal RNA", at positions 43 to 856 of the family's 1533-position model. The record is from RNAcentral.
AAUGCUUCACACAUGCAAGUCGAACGGCAGCACGGACUUCGGUCUGGUGGCGAGUGGCGAACGGGUGAGUAAUAUAUCGGAACGUAUCCAAUAAUGGGGGAUAACUAAUCGAAAGGUUGGCUAAUACCGCAUACGCCCUACGGGGGAAAGCAGGGGAUCUUCGGACCUUGCGUUAAUGGAGCGGCUGAUAUCUGAUUAGCUAGUUGGUGAGGUAAAGGCUCACCAAGGCGACGAUCAGUAGCUGGUCUGAGAGGACGACCAGCCACACUGGAACUGAGACACGGUCCAGACUCCUACGGGAGGCAGCAGUGGGGAAUUUUGGACAAUGGGCGCAAGCCUGAUCCAGCCAUUCCGCGUGAGUGAAGAAGGCCUUCGGGUUGUAAAGCUCUUUCGCAAGGGAAGAAAACUUACUUUUUAAUAAAGAGUGAGGUUGACGGUACCUUGAUAAGAAGCACCGGCUAACUACGUGCCAGCAGCCGCGGUAAUACGUAAGGGUGCGAGCGUUAAUCGGAAUUACUGGGCGUAAAGCGUGCGCAGGCGGUUUUGUAAGUCAGAUGUGAAAUCCCCGAGCUCAACUUGGGAACUGCGUUUGAAACUACAAGACUAGAAUAUGUCAGAGGGGGGUAGAAUUCCACGUGUAGCAAUGAAAUGCGUAGAGAUGUGGAGGAAUACCAAUGGCGAAGCAGCCCCCUGGGAUAAUAUUGACGCUCAUGCACGAAAGCGUGGGGAGCAAACAGGAUUAGAUACCCUGGUAGUCCACGCCCUAAACNAAGUCUACUAAUUGGUUGGNGGGAGUAAAAUCCAUGAGUAACGCACUUAAC